Molecule: ribosomal RNA, 450 nt
Filed under: uncultured organism
Description: partial 16S ribosomal RNA
Rfam family: Bacterial small subunit ribosomal RNA
Source: RNAcentral
GUACACUCCUACGGGAGGCAGCAGUGGGGAAUAUUGGACAAUGGGCGCAAGCCUGAUCCAGCCAUGCCGCGUGAGUGAUGAAGGCCCUAGGGUUGUAAAGCUCUUUCACCGGUGAAGAUAAUGACGGUAACCGGAGAAGAAGCCCCGGCUAACUUCGUGCCAGCAGCCGCGGUAAUACGAAGGGGGCUAGCGUUGUUCGGAUUUACUGGGCGUAAAGCGCACGUAGGCGGACUAUUAAGUCAGGGGUGAAAUCCCGGGGCUCAACCCCGGAACUGCCUUUGAUACUGGUAGUCUUGAGUUCGAGAGAGGUGAGUGGAAUUCCGAGUGUAGAGGUGAAAUUCGUAGAUAUUCGGAGGAACACCAGUGGCGAAGGCGGCUAACUGGAUCGAUACUGACGCUGAGGUGCGAAAGCGUGGGGAGCAAACAGGAUUAGAAACCCCUGUAGUCCCA